This 363-nucleotide unclassified non-coding RNA is filed under the name uncultured Russula. Its description in RNAcentral is "sequence contains ITS2". The record is from RNAcentral. Lineage: Eukaryota; Fungi; Basidiomycota; Agaricomycetes; Russulales; Russulaceae.
AACGCACCUUGCGCCCCUUGGCAUUCCGAGGGGCACACCCGUUUGAGUGUCGUGAAAUCAUCAAAAACCCUUUUCUGUUUACCGAAAAGGAUUUUUGGACUUGGAGGUUUAAUGCUUGCCUUUCACUUUUGAAAGCGAGCUCCUCUCAAAUGAAUUAGUGGGGGGUCCGCUUUGCUGGUCCUUGACGUGAUAAGAUGUUUCUACGUUUUGGAUUUAGCACUGUCCCUUUGGAUUCCUGCUCCUAACUGUCCAACGGACAAACGAUGGUGCUCCGGUCGUCGCCGUCUACAUUGGCGGGGGAGGGCUGGACCCACGAAAGAAAACCUUGACCUCAAAUCGGGUGAGACUACCCGCUGAACUUAA